GCUCUGUUGUUAGGGAAGAACAAGUGCAAGAGUAACUGCUUGCACCUUGACGGUACCUAACCAGAAAGCCACGGCUAACUACGUGCCAGCAGCCGCGGUAAUACGUAGGUGGCAAGCGUUGUCCGGAAUUAUUGGGCGUAAAGGGCUCGCAGGCGGUUUCUUAAGUCUGAUGUGAAAGCCCCCGGCUCAACCGGGGAGGGUCAUUGGAAACUGGGAAACUUGAGUGCAGAAGAGGAGAGUGGAAUUCCACGUGUAGCGGUGAAAUGCGUAGAGAUGUGGAGGAACACCAGUGGCGAAGGCGACUCUCUGGUCUGUAACUGACGCUGAGGAGCGAAAGCGUGGGGAGCGAACAGGAUUAGAUACCCUGGUAGUCCACGCCGUAAACGA
Molecule: ribosomal RNA, 387 nt
Filed under: Bacillus pumilus
Lineage: Bacteria; Bacillati; Bacillota; Bacilli; Caryophanales; Bacillaceae
Description: bacterial SSU rRNA
Rfam family: Bacterial small subunit ribosomal RNA
Source: RNAcentral